UCUUCUAUGCCAAAAAAGGCAAAGUAUAAUUAUUACAAUCACCAGCGAUCUAACCUUUAUAAAUCACUGGAAAACAUUAAAUAUUCACUUACUACACAUAUGCCACUGAAAUGAACCACAACUCCCAAAAGUCUUUGCACUCAUCAACUCCAGCCACAGCUGACAGUAAUCUGGACACUUAUGCACACACAGCUGAAGCUCAUUAUUAACUAUUACAUGGACUAUAUAUACAUCCCAGUUUCACAUAUGCUUUGCUGAGUCUUGUUUUCUGUCAACUGUAAGUGAGCAUUAUGAAGCGGUUCCUUGUUCUGCCUUAUUGUGCCAACAUUAAUGACAAUAAAAAUCACGGUAAUAAAAUAAAAGUAAUAAAAAGCUAAUUAAAAUAAACCUUACGUGAUUAAUUUGUGCACACUUUGUCCCACCCCUGUUUCACUUCCAUAUGUUGUCAAUCCACACAGCCAAUGUUGAAAUGUACAGCUAUGUGGUUGUGUCACGGUUCAGAUGGAUGAUAGCAGACGGCACAGUCGCGUCUGAUUAAACAAACUCUGACUGCAUUUGUCUGCCUGUCAUUUCAGUCCUCCGGCUGCUCCCACGCUCAGAGACAACGACAACCAAGAUUACAUGAUGGCCCACAAUUAUACAGCGCAUCUCCAAUCAAACAUAAACCCUGGUCUGUGUGGAUUACUCAACGUCAAGCAAACCCUCCAGCAAACAAAUCUUCAUCCAGCUAACGUCAUACUCGAAUCUGUCCAGUCUUCCCCGUAUCCAGUCAGAGGUGUGUGCAUCGUCUUUCUGUCUUCCCUGCAAGUCAUCUGGUCUGUGCAUUCGGUCUUCAUGCAUCCUGCUAAGGAUAAGGACAAUAAUAUCAUCUCGGACUUCAUUCACAUAACCCUUAUCCUUCUGUUGCUCCGCUGUUAAAAUAAACAUUUAUUACUACUACUCA
This is a non-coding RNA of Danio rerio (zebrafish), 943 nucleotides long. The record is from RefSeq and is a predicted model, not a curated record. NCBI's taxonomy places the organism in Eukaryota, Metazoa, Chordata, Actinopteri, Cypriniformes, Danionidae.